Molecule: ribosomal RNA, 246 nt
Filed under: uncultured bacterium
Lineage: Bacteria
Description: partial 16S ribosomal RNA
Rfam family: Bacterial small subunit ribosomal RNA
Source: RNAcentral
GAGUAAUGUCUGGGAAACUGCCUGAUGGAGGGGGGAUAACUACUGGAAACGGUAGCUAAUACCGCAUAACGUCGCAAGACCAAAGAGGGGGACCUUCGGGCCUCUUGCCAUCGGAUGUGCCCAGAUGGGAUUAGCUAGUAGGUGGGGUAACGGGCUCACCUAGGCGACGAUCCCUAGCUGGUCUGAGAGGAUGACCAGCCACACUGGAACUGAGACACGGUCCAGACUCCUACGGGAGGCAGCAUG